RNAcentral lists this transfer RNA (65 nucleotides) under Palaemon serenus. RNAcentral describes it as "tRNA-His". The record is from RNAcentral. Lineage: Eukaryota; Metazoa; Arthropoda; Malacostraca; Decapoda; Palaemonidae.
GCUUGAAUAGUUUAAAAAAAACGUUGGUUUGUGGGGCCAAAAAUAUGACUUAUUUAUUUUGAGCA